CGAACGAACGAGCAUCCGUUUGAACGCUCUCGCAUGUCGAUAAUUACAAUAACUAUUUUGAAAUUAAUUGGAUUUUUCAAUAAAUUUUCAAUGAAUAAAGUAAAAAAAAUACAAAUGUCAAUAUAACAAUCUAAAGUCGGAUUAUGUUAGCAGCUUACUUUUGUUAAAAGCACCUUAACGAUCGUUUAAACUCUUGUUGCGUGUUAGCGUGUAACGCGUUAGCCGUAAUCUUCGUGAUAUAAAUUACAACCGGGAUGGUGGGGCCUUUCAUUGAACUACCACGAGCGGAAACGAGAGCAUCAUGCUUGCUCUGUGAGAAAUUCUAUUCGACCUCCAUUGGCUUUACUCGAGGAGCUUGUGAGCAUUCGACGAUUAUUCCUUUGAAAUAAUGUCUUCUUCUCUUUCCCGUAUCCGGUAAGAACAACAACGAAGUCAACGACAACGAAGACGAGAGACGUUUAACGCUCAAGGCUAUAUAGAGCCGCUCGAUCCUUGCGUGGCUGAAAAGAAGCAAAAGAAGCAAAAGAAGCAAAAGGAGCAAAAGGAGCAAAACUCUGAAAGAGAAACAACGAGAAAUGGUAAAUAAGCCUUUGUGCUAAAGAAAGAACACCCGGAGGAUUCGAACGAUCCGUAAUAACUGUCUACCGCGUUUCUUAGCAGUAAUGAUAUGGACUCGUAUUAUGCUUUCCUUUUCUAAACGCUAUAAGACGACAAGUCGUCUUAUACUAGUCCUCUAUCUUCCAAUAUGAUAUU
This is a long non-coding RNA of Polistes dominula (European paper wasp), 753 nucleotides long. Lineage: Eukaryota; Metazoa; Arthropoda; Insecta; Hymenoptera; Vespidae. The record is from RefSeq and is a predicted model, not a curated record.